This 67-nucleotide microRNA precursor is filed under the name Mus caroli (Ryukyu mouse). Its description in RNAcentral is "predicted gene, 56142 (MGP_CAROLIEiJ_G0008240.1)". The record is from RNAcentral. RNAcentral also lists the same sequence under 2 other names. Lineage: Eukaryota; Metazoa; Chordata; Mammalia; Rodentia; Muridae.
AAAGGAGCUUCAGUUGAGAAAAUGCCUCCAUGAGAUCCAGCUGUAAGGCAUUUUCUCAAUUAGUGAU